UACAGAGGGUGCGAGCGUUAAUCGGAGUUACUGGGCGUAAAGGGCGCGUAGGCGGUAUGAUGAGUGUGAUGUGAAAGCCCCUGGGCUUAACCUAGGAAGUGCAUCGCAAACGAUCGUACUGGAGUAUAAGAGAGGGUGGCGGAAUUUCCGGUGUAGCGGUGAAAUGCGUAGAGAUCGGAAGGAACGUCAAUGGCGAAGGCAGCCACCUGGCUUAAUACUGACGCUGAGG
This 229-nucleotide ribosomal RNA is filed under the name uncultured bacterium. RNAcentral describes it as "partial 16S ribosomal RNA". It matches the Rfam family "Bacterial small subunit ribosomal RNA", at positions 524 to 751 of the family's 1533-position model. The record is from RNAcentral.